UUCCUCUAGUUGACUUAUUUUUUUGUUCAGACUGCACAGGAUGAAUUAGAGAUGGUUUUUCUUCAAAAAUAACAUUUCUGUAAGCCCACAUGCUUUGUCCCAGUAAGAUAGUGAGAGAUAUUUUUAAAUGAAUGUUUCAAAGGUGAACUUCACAAGGGUGACACACCUGCAGGCAUUUGUAUUGUGUGAGUAACAGUGAAAAAGACCAAGGGGUUGUUAUAGCAACAAACACCAAGCAAUGACUUCAUGAAGGGAACCAAGUGACAUCAGAAUGGCACCUUGAAAGCAGCUGCUUUUGUUGAGAGCUUCAUUCUGCAGGUUGAAUGUAUUUCUGCUCUCCCAUCUCCUUAAAGGUUGCCUGAGUGCAGGGAAAACCUGAGCUGGUGUCCCACCCUCAUGGCAGAGAUGCAGACAAGCAGCUGGAUGGGUAGAUACAGAGUCCAGUGCAGAUCUGACUGGGACACAGGAGACUUACCCAAUGGGAGGAUAUUUGCUCAUGUUUUACAUGAGCAGGACCACAGCGAGUCCCCUAUAGUGCUGGUUCUGCUUUGCUGCACAGAGACCCCAGGCCCCAAACUGGCACCGCUGCACACCCCCUGGCCACUCAGCAGCCCCAGAUCACCAACAAAACCUAGGAAGGUGCUUGAAUACUUGGAGUGUCAGUACAGGCAACUGAAUCAUCACACAAAUGAAGUAUGGAUGAGAAGGAGAGAGCAAUGGUCUAAUCAUUUCCUGUUCUGUAAUUACGGUAAAAAAAGGCUAAUCCUGAAAAAAAGUGAUUGCCUUCUUUGUUGUAUCCAUGGCAACAGAAAAGGAUAGCGACUGUUUGACCAUCUGCAAGUUGUCGUGGCUUUCUUCUUCGCCUCCUAAAGCAGCUGAGGCUGCCCAGAUGCUCCAGCAGGCCCGAGAGCACAGGCUUGGCUGCUGGUGCUGGGGUGGGCUCAGGCACAGUGGCAGGGAAACACACACCCUGGUUCAGCAGGGUCUGUACCAGCUCCUUAUGCUUUCAGAGCACCCUGGGCUGCUCCCCUGGGCCUUCCGCAUGGGACUCAGGCUGUGCCUCGCUUCACUCAGCCCCUCCUCGCUUUUCCUUGCCCAUCCAUCUCCAAGGAAAAGGCUGAUAAUGAUGAGUAAGGGGGUAGUCAAGCAUCCAAAUAUACAGCCAGAUGUCUGUGUAUUUGGAUGUUGUUUGAACAAAAAGAUGUUCAUGAUGGAGCAUGAACUAGAGAGACAGUUUAUGGGGAAUUGGGAAUGAGGAGAGGAGAGGAGUAGCCACACUGUGCAUCAACCAGAAGACAACAUGCAAGAGCUGAGAGGAAGUACUUCUUGAAAGAAACACACAUAUUUCAUCUGAACAUCAGGAAACACCAGGAGCCCUUCUGUGCUGUGUGGGUGCCAGGGCCCUGCCCCAGGCUGCCCAGAGAGGCGGUGGGGUCUCCUCCCUGGAGGCCUUCAGAAGCCGCCUGGACGUGGUGCUGGGCACCCUGCUCUGGGUGGCCGUGCUGGAGCAGGGGCUGGGCUGGGGCCUCCUCAGGUCCCUGCCCACCUCAGUGCUCUGGGGUUCUGUAAUAUCACCUCAGGAUCUGCCCUCCCUUUCUUUUCACUCUCUUACUGAUUUUUUAAGUUUACUAAAUUUGAUAUCUAAUCUAGCUUUGAUUAAUAGCUAAAAUAGCAAUUUUGUUUGAUCCUGCAUUCACUGACACCACGCUAAAAACCCCUACCAGUGUAACAGGCACAUAACAGAAGCUUGAUUUAGUUGGAUCAGUCACAAACCUGUAGUUUUCUGGUGGUUUAAAAAUGUGAACAAUGAGCUAUUAUGGCGUAUAUAUGAAAUAGUUCACACUUUUUGUAUUUUCUGUGCUUAAAUUUAAAAUUUAGCUUCAUAUGGUGGGAGAAGAGGGCAGAGAGGAGAGUUCAUUCACUGGCGUAUGCAGUGGCACUCGGGGGGUGCCACCAAGCCCACCUUUAUGCUGACAGCAGUUCUGCAUAAUUUUUGCUGUUUGCUCUUUGCAAUUGUUUUGGCAUUUUUAAGUGAAUACAAUUCCCUUGUGAGACCUCAUAAAUACGACCAGAUACCAGUGAGCCGCAGGCCAGUGAUAGUAUACCCAUUUCACAGAGAAAUGUGUUGAAAAUACAUCACUGUAUUGAUGAGCCCAUCAGAUUGUCUGCAAAAAUACUAAUAACCACAUGUGUACAGAAGCAUACUUUUAAU
This is a long non-coding RNA of Cygnus olor (mute swan), 2212 nucleotides long. RefSeq lists it as uncharacterized. The transcript is spliced from 3 exons. Lineage: Eukaryota; Metazoa; Chordata; Aves; Anseriformes; Anatidae. The record is from RefSeq and is a predicted model, not a curated record.